AUUGAACGCUGGCGGCAUGCCUUACACAUGCAAGUCGAACGGCAGCACGGGGCAACCUGGUGGCGAGUGGCGAACGGGUGAGUAAUGCAUCGGAACGUACCUUUCAGUGGGGGAUAACGUAGCGAAAGUUACGCUAAUACCGCAUAUUCUGUGAGCAGGAAAGCAGGGGAUCGCAAGACCUUGCGCUGAUUGAGCGGCCGAUGUCAGAUUAGCUAGUUGGUGAGGUAAAGGCUCACCAAGGCGACGAUUUGUAGCGGGUCUGAGAGGAUGAGACGCCACACUGGAACUGGUACACGGGCCGGACUCCUACGGGAGGCAGCAGUGGUGAAUUGUGGACAAUGGGGGCAACCCUGAUCCAGCCAUGCCGCGUGAGUGAAGAAGGCCUUCGGGUUGUAAAGCUCUUUCGGCCGGGAAGAAAUCGCACGGGCUAAUACCCUGUGUGGAUGACGGUACCGGAAUAAGAAGCACCGGCUAACUACGUGCCAGCCGCCGCGGUAA
Molecule: ribosomal RNA, 498 nt
Filed under: uncultured bacterium
Lineage: Bacteria
Description: partial 16S ribosomal RNA
Rfam family: Bacterial small subunit ribosomal RNA
Source: RNAcentral